This 24-nucleotide non-coding RNA is filed under the name Arabidopsis thaliana (thale cress). Lineage: Eukaryota; Viridiplantae; Streptophyta; Magnoliopsida; Brassicales; Brassicaceae. The record is from RNAcentral.
GAUCAUACAAUAUUCCGGGUUCAA